Molecule: long non-coding RNA, 399 nt
Organism: Musca domestica (house fly)
Lineage: Eukaryota; Metazoa; Arthropoda; Insecta; Diptera; Muscidae
Exons: 3
Source: RefSeq, a predicted model, not a curated record
GAAAAGUCUAAAAUAAAUAGGAUGGCAAAAAGAGGCAGAAACUUUAAUUAUGCAAAAAAAAAAAUAAAACUAAAUAUGAGAAUAGAAUGUGCAGGAACGUGAAUUCUUGCAGCAAAAUGGGACAGAACUUGAACAAUUUAAACAGUUUAUUGCAAAAACCAAACGGUUUUUUCAGAUAAAUUAGCCUGCCAAUGCAGCUGGAAGGGGAUCAGUGUAAAUCUGAGUGCAGAAAUGUGUUAUUUAGUUACAGUAAUCAAAAAUAUUUGUCAUCUCAAAUACUAGCAACGACAAUCCUUCAGAAACAUUUUGUUCACGCUGCAGACGGAUCGCUAGAAGAAAAAGAUCCAAUUACAGUUCCUUUUUUAUUUAUUUAUUAAGAAUGUUGUUUAUAUUACACAU